GAUGAACGCUAGCGACAGGCUUAACACAUGCAAGUCGUAGGGGCAUCAUGUAGGUUGCUUGCGACCUAUGAUGGCGACCGGCGCACGGGUGAGUAACGCGUAUGCAACCUUCCCGCGGCAGGGGGAUAGCCCGGCGAAAGUCGGAUUAAUACCCCAUGAGACAGGGGCCCCGCAUGGGGAUAUUUGUUAAAGGUUUGUUCCGGCCGCGGAUGGGCAUGCGUAGGAUUAGGUAGUCGGCGGGGUGACGGCCCACCGAGCCAUCGAUCCUUAGGGGUUCUGAGAGGGAGGUCCCCCACACUGGUACUGAGACACGGACCAGACUCCUACGGGAGGCAGCAGUGAGGAAUAUUGUUCAAUGGGCGGAAGCCUGAACCAGCCAAGUCGCGUGAGGGAUGGAGGCCCUACGGGUUGUAAACCUCUUUUGCCGGGGGAUAAUUGGCCGCACGCGUGCGGCGUUGCAGGUACCCGGCGAAUAAGCAUCGGCUAACUCCGUGCCAGCAGCCGCGGUAAUACGGAGGAUGCGAGCGUUAUCCGGAUUCAUUGGGUUUAAAGGGUGCGUAGGUGGGUCUGUAAGUCGGCGGUGAAAUCCCGGUCGCUCAACGAUGGGACUGCCGUCGAAACUGCGGGUCUUGAGACCGGACGAGGCGGGCGGAAUGCGCGGUGUAGCGGUGAAAUGCUUAGAGAUCGCGCAGAACUCCGAUUGCGAAGGCAGCUCGCCAGGGCGGUUCUGACACUGAAGCACGAAAGCGUGGGGAUCAAACAGGAUUAGAUACCCUGGUAGUCCACGCAGUAAACGAUGAUCACUAGGAGUAUGCGACAGGCUGUAUGCUCUACAGCGAAAGCGUUAAGUGACCCACCUGGGGAGUACGCCGGCAACGGUGAAACUCAAAGGAAUUGACGGGGGCCCGCACAAGCGGAGGAACAUGUGGUUUAAUUCGAUGAUACGCGAGGAACCUUACCCGGGAUUGAAAUGUGGACGUCGGGUGGCGAGAGCCGCCUUCCCUUCGGGGCGUCCAUGUAGGUGCUGCAUGGUUGUCGUCAGCUCGUGCCGUGAGGUGUCGGCUUAAGUGCCAUAACGAGCGCAACCCUGACUGCCAGUUGCCAUCAGGUUAUGCUGGGGACUCUGGCGGGACUGCCGGCGUAAGCUGCGAGGAAGGUUGGGAUGACGUCAAAUCAGCACGGCCCUUACAUCCGGGGCGACACACGUGUUACAAUGGGGGGGACAAAGGGCUGCUACCGGGCGACCGGAUGCGAAUCUCCAAACCCCCUCUCAGUUCGGAUCGGAGUCUGCAACCCGACUCCGUGAAGCUGGAUUCGCUAGUAAUCGCGCAUCAGCCAUGGCGCGGUGAAUACGUUCCCGGGCCUUGUACACACCGCCCGUCAAGCCAUGGGAGCCGGGGGCGCCUGAAGUCCGUGACCGCGAGGAUCGGCCUAGGGUGAAACUGGUGACUGGGGCUAAGUCGUAACAAGGUAGCCGUA
This 1479-nucleotide ribosomal RNA is filed under the name uncultured rumen bacterium. RNAcentral's name for it is "16S ribosomal RNA". It matches the Rfam family "Bacterial small subunit ribosomal RNA". The record is from RNAcentral.